UUUAGAGUUUUGAUCCUGGCUCAGGAUGAACGCUGGCGGCGUGCCUAAUACAUGCAAGUCGAGCGAAUGGAUUAAGAGCUUGCUCUUAUGAAGUUAGCGGCGGACGGGUGAGUAACACGUGGGUAACCUGCCCAUAAGACUGGGAUAACUCCGGGAAACCGGGGCUAAUACCGGAUAACAUUUUGAACCGCAUGGUUCGAAAUUGAAAGGCGGCUUCGGCUGUCACUUAUGGAUGGACCCGCGUCGCAUUAGCUAGUUGGUGAGGUAACGGCUCACCAAGGCAACGAUGCGUAGCCGACCUGAGAGGGUGAUCGGCCACACUGGGACUGAGACACGGCCCAGACUCCUACGGGAGGCAGCAGUAGGGAAUCUUCCGCAAUGGACGAAAGUCUGACGGAGCAACGCCGCGUGAGUGAUGAAGGCUUUCGGGUCGUAAAACUCUGUUGUUAGGGAAGAACAAGUGCUAGUUGAAUAAGCUGGCACCUUGACGGUACCUAACCAGAAAGCCACGGCUAACUACGUGCCAGCAGCCGCGGUAAUACGUAGGUGGCAAGCGUUAUCCGGAAUUAUUGGGCGUAAAGCGCGCGCAGGUGGUUUCUUAAGUCUGAUGUGAAAGCCCACGGCUCAACCGUGGAGGGUCAUUGGAAACUGGGAGACUUGAGGUGCAGAAGAGA
RNAcentral lists this ribosomal RNA (674 nucleotides) under Bacillus thuringiensis. RNAcentral describes it as "bacterial SSU rRNA". It matches the Rfam family "Bacterial small subunit ribosomal RNA", at positions 1 to 658 of the family's 1533-position model. The record is from RNAcentral. Lineage: Bacteria; Bacillati; Bacillota; Bacilli; Caryophanales; Bacillaceae.